GGUUAAGCGACUAAGCGUACACGGUGGAUGCCCUGGCAGUCAGAGGCGAUGAAGGACGUGCUAAUCUGCGAUAAGCGUCGGUAAGGUGAUAUGAACCGUUAUAACCGGCGAUUUCCGAAUGGGGAAACCCAGUGUGAUUCGUCACACUAUCAUUAACUGAAUCCAUAGGUUAAUGAGGCGAACCGGGGAACUGAAACAUCUAAGUACCCCGAGGAAAAGAAAUCAACCGAGAUUCCCCCAGUAGCGGCGAGCGAACGGGGAGCAGCCCAGAGCCUGAAUCAGUGUGUGUGUUAGUGGAAGCGUCUGGAAAGGCGUGCGAUACAGGGUGACAGCCCCGUACACAAAAAUGCACAUACUGUGAGCUCGAUGAGUAGGGCGGGACACGUGGUAUCCUGUCUGAAUAUGGGGGGACCAUCCUCCAAGGCUAAAUACUCCUGACUGACCGAUAGUGAACCAGUACCGUGAGGGAAAGGCGAAAAGAACCCCGGCGAGGGGAGUGAAAAAGAACCUGAAACCGUGUACGUACAAGCAGUGGGAGCACGCUUAGGCGUGUGACUGCGUACCUUUUGUAUAAUGGGUCAGCGACUUAUAUUCUGUAGCAAGGUUAACCGAAUAGGGGAGCCGAAGGGAAACCGAGUCUUAACUGGGCGUUAAGUUGCAGGGUAUAGACCCGAAACCCGGUGAUCUAGCCAUGGGCAGGUUGAAGGUUGGGUAACACUAACUGGAGGACCGAACCGACUAAUGUUGAAAAAUUAGCGGAUGACUUGUGGCUGGGGGUGAAAGGCCAAUCAAACCGGGAGAUAGCUGGUUCUCCCCGAAAGCUAUUUAGGUAGCGCCUCGUGAAUUCAUCUCCGGGGGUAGAGCACUGUUUCGGCAAGGGGGUCAUCCCGACUUACCAACCCGAUGCAAACUGCGAAUACCGGAGAAUGUUAUCACGGGAGACACACGGCGGGUGCUAACGUCCGUCGUGAAGAGGGAAACAACCCAGACCGCCAGCUAAGGUCCCAAAGUCAUGGUUAAGUGGGAAACGAUGUGGGAAGGCCCAGACAGCCAGGAUGUUGGCUUAGAAGCAGCCAUCAUUUAAAGAAAGCGUAAUAGCUCACUGGUCGAGUCGGCCUGCGCGGAAGAUGUAACGGGGCUAAACCAUGCACCGAAGCUGCGGCAGCGACGCUUAUGCGUUGUUGGGUAGGGGAGCGUUCUGUAAGCCUGUGAAGGUGUGCUGUGAGGUAUGCUGGAGGUAUCAGAAGUGCGAAUGCUGACAUAAGUAACGAUAAAGCGGGUGAAAAGCCCGCUCGCCGGAAGACCAAGGGUUCCUGUCCAACGUUAAUCGGGGCAGGGUGAGUCGACCCCUAAGGCGAGGCCGAAAGGCGUAGUCGAUGGGAAACAGGUUAAUAUUCCUGUACUUGGUGUUACUGCGAAGGGGGACGGAGAAGGCUAUGUUGGCCGGGCGACGGUUGUCCCGGUUUAAGCGUGUAGGCUGGUUUUCCAGGCAAAUCCGGAAAAUCAAGGCCGAGGCGUGAUGACGAGGCACUACGGUGCUGAAGCAACAAAUGCCCUGCUUCCAGGAAAAGCCUCUAAGCAUCAGGUAACAUCAAAUCGUACCCCAAACCGACACAGGUGGUCAGGUAGAGAAUACCAAGGCGCUUGAGAGAACUCGGGUGAAGGAACUAGGCAAAAUGGUGCCGUAACUUCGGGAGAAGGCACGCUGAUACGUAGGUGAAGCGACUUGCUCGUGGAGCUGAAAUCAGUCGAAGAUACCAGCUGGCUGCAACUGUUUAUUAAAAACACAGCACUGUGCAAACACGAAAGUGGACGUAUACGGUGUGACGCCUGCCCGGUGCCGGAAGGUUAAUUGAUGGGGUUAGCGCAAGCGAAGCUCUUGAUCGAAGCCCCGGUAAACGGCGGCCGUAACUAUAACGGUCCUAAGGUAGCGAAAUUCCUUGUCGGGUAAGUUCCGACCUGCACGAAUGGCGUAAUGAUGGCCAGGCUGUCUCCACCCGAGACUCAGUGAAAUUGAACUCGCUGUGAAGAUGCAGUGUACCCGCGGCAAGACGGAAAGACCCCGUGAACCUUUACUAUAGCUUGACACUGAACAUUGAGCCUUGAUGUGUAGGAUAGGUGGGAGGCUUUGAAGUGUGGACGCCAGUCUGCAUGGAGCCGACCUUGAAAUACCACCCUUUAAUGUUUGAUGUUCUAACGUGGACCCGUGAUCCGGGUUGCGGACAGUGUCUGGUGGGUAGUUUGACUGGGGCGGUCUCCUCCUAAAGAGUAACGGAGGAGCACGAAGGUUGGCUAAUCCUGGUCGGACAUCAGGAGGUUAGUGCAAUGGCAUAAGCCAGCUUGACUGCGAGCGUGACGGCGCGAGCAGGUGCGAAAGCAGGUCAUAGUGAUCCGGUGGUUCUGAAUGGAAGGGCCAUCGCUCAACGGAUAAAAGGUACUCCGGGGAUAACAGGCUGAUACCGCCCAAGAGUUCAUAUCGACGGCGGUGUUUGGCACCUCGAUGUCGGCUCAUCACAUCCUGGGGCUGAAGUAGGUCCCAAGGGUAUGGCUGUUCGCCAUUUAAAGUGGUACGCGAGCUGGGUUUAGAACGUCGUGAGACAGUUCGGUCCCUAUCUGCCGUGGGCGCUGGAGAACUGAGGGGGGCUGCUCCUAGUACGAGAGGACCGGAGUGGACGCAUCACUGGUGUUCGGGUUGUCAUGCCAAUGGCACUGCCCGGUAGCUAAAUGCGGAAGAGAUAAGUGCUGAAAGCAUCUAAGCACGAAACUUGCCCCGAGAUGAGUUCUCCCUGACCCUUUAAGGGUCCUGAAGGAACGUUGAAGACGACGACGUUGAUAGGCCGGGUGUGUAAGCGCAGCGAUGCGUUGAGCUAACCGGUACUAAUGAACCGUGAGGCUUAACCUU
Molecule: ribosomal RNA, 2902 nt
Filed under: Shigella flexneri
Lineage: Bacteria; Pseudomonadati; Pseudomonadota; Gammaproteobacteria; Enterobacterales; Enterobacteriaceae
Description: 23S ribosomal RNA
Rfam family: Bacterial large subunit ribosomal RNA
Source: RNAcentral